RNAcentral lists this ribosomal RNA (368 nucleotides) under uncultured organism. RNAcentral's name for it is "bacterial SSU rRNA". It matches the Rfam family "Bacterial small subunit ribosomal RNA", at positions 526 to 896 of the family's 1533-position model. The record is from RNAcentral.
CGGAGGGUGCAAGCGUUGUCCGGAUUUAUUGGGUUUAAAGGGUGCGUAGGCGGCCCGUUAAGUCAGUGGUGAAAGCCUCCAGCUCAACUGGAGAACUGCCAUUGAUACUGACGGGCUUGAGUACAGACGAGGUUGGCGGAAUUGAUUGUGUAGCGGUGAAAUGCAUAGAUACAAUCAAGAACUCCGAUUGCGUAGGCAGCUAACUAGGCUGUAACUGACGCUGAGGCACGAAAGCGUGGGGAGCGAACAGGAUUAGAUACCCUGGUAGUCCACGCUGUAAGCGAUGAUUACUCGAUGUCGGCGAUAAACUGUCGGCGUCUUAGCGAAAGCGUUAAGUAAUCCACCUGGGGAGUACGCCCGCAAGGGUG